RNAcentral lists this ribosomal RNA (467 nucleotides) under uncultured marine group I thaumarchaeote. RNAcentral's name for it is "bacterial SSU rRNA". It matches the Rfam family "Archaeal small subunit ribosomal RNA", at positions 427 to 893 of the family's 1478-position model. Lineage: Archaea; Thermoproteati; Nitrososphaerota. The record is from RNAcentral.
ACUAGUGAAUAAGGGGUGGGCAAGUUCUGGUGUCAGCCGCCGCGGUAAAACCAGCACCUCAAGUGGUCAGGAGGAUUAUUGGGCCUAAAGCAUCCGUAGCCGGCUCUGUAAGUUUUCGGUUAAAUCCAUGUGCUCAACGCAUGGGCUGUCGAAAAUACUGCAUAGCUAGGGAGUGGGAGAGGUAGACGGUACUCGGUAGGAAGGGGUAAAAUCCUUUGAUCUAUCGAUGACCACCUGUGGCGAAGGCGGUCUACCAGAACACGUUCGACGGUGAGGGAUGAAAGCUGGGGGAGCAAACCGGAUUAGAUACCCGGGUAGUCCCAGCUGUAAACGAUGCAGACUCGAUGAUGCAUUGGCAUAUAGCCAGUGCAGUGUCGCAGGGAAGCCGUUAAGUCUGCCGCCUGGGAAGUACGUACGCAAGUAUGAAACUCUAAGGAAUGGGCGGGGGAGCACCACAAAGCGUGAAG